Molecule: long non-coding RNA, 932 nt
Filed under: Trifolium pratense (red clover)
Lineage: Eukaryota; Viridiplantae; Streptophyta; Magnoliopsida; Fabales; Fabaceae
Description: long non-coding RNA (TPRA_LNC011865)
Source: RNAcentral
ACAUAUAUCUAUACAUCUUACCAUUGAUGAUCAGCAUAUUUUACAAUUUACACCAUCUUUUGCAAUGCAUGCUUCAAUCAAAGGCACAAUUUCAGGCUCACUCAGUAGGCACAGUUUUUGUGAGCUUCAGCAAACAGUUUUCCCGGUUGCUUUAUCACACUAGCAGGACAAUUUAAUUCCUAUAUAUACAAAAACACAUGAACUAACAUCAACAUUUCAUUACCGAAAUAAUAAUAACAAUAAGGCUUAACUACACAUUUAGUCACUUACGUUUAUUUUAGGUUUCAAUUUGGUCCCUUACGUUUACAAAGUAUCAAUUUGGUCCCUUACGUUUAUUUUAGAUUUCAAGUUAGUCCUUUCGUCAAUUUUGUCACAUGUGGCAGCCAAUUUGCUUAUGUGGACAAACACGUGGCACUUGGACACACUGACACGUGUACUAGUGUUAGUGACAAAACUAACAGAAAGGACUAACUUGAAACCUAAAAUAAACGUAAAGGACCAAAUUGAUACUUUUUAAACGUAAGAGACCAAACUGAAACUUAAAAUAAACGUAAGGGACUAAAUGUAUAGUUAAGCCUAACAAUAAAAAAAUGCAAACCCAGAAGUAUAAAUUGUAGCCUUAAUCUCGGAAUUGUGAAUUGAUAAACUUACAAUGAACAUGGUGGAGGAUGUAGAUUGUGUUUAACUGAAUGAAAGUGUUGGCUUGCUCUUCAGCUAUGGUAACAAACUAGGGUUAUGCUAAAGAGUAAAGACUAAAGACAGAAUUUUAAAACUAAGAAAAUAAAUUACAAGUCGAUUCAUUAUCCUCAAAGAGAGGCAGCAUUACAAAUAUAUAGCUAGGGUUUUUCCAUAGUGGAUCUAAUAGCAAUUGGGCCAUGGGCCUCUUGGAGGAAUUAGAAAAAUCAAUAGUAUUUGAAUGUUAUAUCUCUCAG